RNAcentral lists this ribosomal RNA (688 nucleotides) under uncultured bacterium. Its description in RNAcentral is "bacterial SSU rRNA". It matches the Rfam family "Bacterial small subunit ribosomal RNA", at positions 8 to 669 of the family's 1533-position model. The record is from RNAcentral.
AGAGUUUGAUCCUGGCUCAGGAUGAACGCUGGCGGCGUGCCUAAUACAUGCAAGUCGUGCGCGGGAAGCGAGACAAUCUCCUUCGGGAGUGCGACUCGUGGAACGAGCGGCGGAUGGGUGAGUAACACGUGGGUAACCUGCCUGUAAGCUCGGGAUAACUUACGGAAACGUGAGCUAAUACCGGAUGAAGCUAUUUAUCGCAUGAUGAGUAGAUGAAAGACGGCUUUGCUGUCACUUACAGAUGGACCCGUGGCGCAUUAGCUAGUUGGUGAGGUAAAGGCUCACCAAAGCAACGAUGCGUAGCCGACCUGAGAGGGUGAUCGGCCACACUGGGACUGAGACACGGCCCAGACUCCUACGGGAGGCAGCAGUAGGGAAUCUUCCGCAAUGGACGAAAGUCUGACGGAGCGACGCCGCGUGAGUGAUGAAGGUCUUCGGAUCGUAAAACUCUGUUGUUAGGGAAGAACAAGUAUCGGAGUAAUAUGCCGGUACCUUGACGGUACCUAACCAGAAAGCCCCGGCUAACUACGUGCCAGCAGCCGCGGUAAUACGUAGGGGGCAAGCGUUGUCCGGAUUAUUGGGCGUAAAGGCAUGCAGGCGGCUAUUUAAGUCUGAUGUGAAAUCUUGUAGCUAACUACAAGCGGUCAUUGGAACUGAAUAGCUUGAGUCAGAGAAGAGAGUGGAUUCC